GUUUUAGUUGUACAUUAUGCACAAUAGACAUUCCAUUACAUUCAGAGUGUGUAGAGGUACUCGAGCGCCAGGCCGGCAAGGGCCAUGCAAAGCGGCGACUCAGAGUCAUAGAUGCACAGGUGUGUGUGGAUUUGCGACCCGUCGACGUGCACAUGCGGAUCUCUCCGCCAGCACAGAACGAACGAGCCGACUUUUGAAGUUUCAUUAAUGAUCCUUCCGCAGGUUCACCUACGGAAA
Molecule: unclassified non-coding RNA, 237 nt
Filed under: uncultured fungus
Lineage: Eukaryota; Fungi
Description: sequence contains ITS1
Source: RNAcentral